Molecule: transfer RNA, 73 nt
Filed under: Trichonephila inaurata madagascariensis
Lineage: Eukaryota; Metazoa; Arthropoda; Arachnida; Araneae; Nephilidae
Rfam family: tRNA
About the family: Transfer RNA (tRNA) molecules are approximately 80 nucleotides in length. Their secondary structure includes four short double-helical elements and three loops (D, anti-codon, and T loops). Further hydrogen bonds mediate the characteristic L-shaped molecular structure. tRNAs have two regions of fundamental functional importance: the anti-codon, which is responsible for specific mRNA codon recognition, and the 3' end, to which the tRNAs corresponding amino acid is attached (by aminoacyl-tRNA synthetases). tRNAs cope with the degeneracy of the genetic code in two manners: having more than one tRNA (with a specific anti-codon) for a particular amino acid; and 'wobble' base-pairing, i.e. permitting non-standard base-pairing at the 3rd anti-codon position.
Source: Rfam by way of RNAcentral
AUCCCUGUAGCGCAAUGAAUAGCGUGCUGGAUUUCUAAUUCAAAGGUCGUGGGUUCGAAUCCCACCUGGGUUG